RNAcentral lists this ribosomal RNA (254 nucleotides) under uncultured bacterium. RNAcentral's name for it is "partial 16S ribosomal RNA". It matches the Rfam family "Bacterial small subunit ribosomal RNA", at positions 524 to 776 of the family's 1533-position model. The record is from RNAcentral.
UACGUAGGGGGCAAGCGUUGUUCGGAGUUACUGGGCGUAAAGGGUGCGUAGGCGGCUUUUUAAGUUUGGUGUGAAAUCUCCUGGCUUAACCGGGAGGGUGCGCCGGAUACUGAGAAGCUAGAGUAUGGGAGAGGAAAGUGGAAUUCCUGGUGUAGCGGUGAAAUGCGUAGAUAUCAGGAGGAACACCGGUGGCGAAGGCGGCAUCCUGGACCAACACUGACGCUGAGUGAGCGAAAGCCAGGGGAGCAAACGGG